CGACGCCUACGGGAGGCAGCAGUGGGGAAUAUUGCACAAUGGGGGGAACCCUGAUGCAGCGACGCCGCGUGAGUGAAGAAGUAUUUCGGUAUGUAAAGCUCUCUCAGCAGGGAAGAAAAUGACGGUACCUGACUAAGAAGCCCAGGCUAACUACGUGCCAGCAGCCGAGGUAAUACGUAGGGAGCAAGCGUUAUCCGGAUUUACUGGGUGUAAAGGGAGCGUAGACGGCGAUGCAAGUCAGAAGUGAAAGC
This 251-nucleotide ribosomal RNA is filed under the name uncultured bacterium. RNAcentral's name for it is "partial 16S ribosomal RNA". It matches the Rfam family "Bacterial small subunit ribosomal RNA", at positions 333 to 601 of the family's 1533-position model. The record is from RNAcentral.